GACAGAGGUGCCGAGCGUUAGGCGGAAUCACUGGGCUUAAAGCGUGUGUAGGCGGACUUCUAAGUACCUUGUGAAAUCCCACGGCUUAACCGUGGAGCUGCUUGGUAUACUGGUUGUCUUGGGCCUCUAGGGGCUACCGGAACAAACGGUGGAGCGGUGAAAUGCGUAGAUAUCGUUUGGAACGCCAAUGGUGAAAACAGGUAGCUGGGG
Molecule: ribosomal RNA, 210 nt
Filed under: uncultured bacterium
Lineage: Bacteria
Description: partial 16S ribosomal RNA
Rfam family: Bacterial small subunit ribosomal RNA
Source: RNAcentral